UCUAUUUAUUUUAUUGAAUAUUAAUUUUGUUAAUUAAAGGUUAUUAGAU
RNAcentral lists this transfer RNA (49 nucleotides) under Meloidogyne graminicola. RNAcentral's name for it is "transfer RNA-Thr (UGU)". Lineage: Eukaryota; Metazoa; Nematoda; Chromadorea; Rhabditida; Meloidogynidae. The record is from RNAcentral.